AAAUUGAAGAGUUUGAUCAUGGCUCAGAUUGAACGCUGGCGGCAGGCCUAACACAUGCAAGUCGAACGGUAACAGGAAGCAGCUUGCUGCUUUGCUGACGAGUGGCGGACGGGUGAGUAAUGUCUGGGAAACUGCCUGAUGGAGGGGGAUAACUACUGGAAACGGUAGCUAAUACCGCAUAAUGUCGCAAGACCAAAGAGGGGGACCUUCGGGCCUCUUGCCAUCGGAUGUGCCCAGAUGGGAUUAGCUAGUAGGUGGGGUAACGGCUCACCUAGGCGACGAUCCCUAGCUGGUCUGAGAGGAUGACCAGCCACACUGGAACUGAGACACGGUCCAGACUCCUACGGGAGGCAGCAGUGGGGAAUAUUGCACAAUGGGCGCAAGCCUGAUGCAGCCAUGCCGCGUGUAUGAAGAAGGCCUUCGGG
Molecule: ribosomal RNA, 425 nt
Filed under: Escherichia coli
Lineage: Bacteria; Pseudomonadati; Pseudomonadota; Gammaproteobacteria; Enterobacterales; Enterobacteriaceae
Description: bacterial SSU rRNA
Rfam family: Bacterial small subunit ribosomal RNA
Source: RNAcentral